CAGAGAACUUAGCAGACAUGCUUUGGUGCCUUCGGGAACUCUGAGACAGGUGCUGNAUGGCUGUCGUCAGCUCGUGUUGUGAAAUGUUGGGUUAAGUCCCGCCAACGGAAGCGGCAACCCUUAUCCUUUGUUGCCAGCGGUCCGGCCGGGAACUCAAAGGAGACUGCCAGUGAUAAACUGGAGGAAGGUGGGGAUGACGUCAAGUCAUCAUGGCCCUUACGAGUAGGGCUACACACGUGCUACAAUGGCAUAUACAAAGAGAAGCGACCUCGCGAGAGCAAGCGGACCUCAUAAAGUAUGUCGUAGUCCGGAUUGGAGUCUGCAACUCGACUCCAUGAAGUCGGAAUCGCUAGUAAUCGUGGAUCAGAAUGCCACGGUGAAUACGUUCCCGGGGUCUUGUAC
This 402-nucleotide ribosomal RNA is filed under the name Klebsiella oxytoca. RNAcentral describes it as "bacterial SSU rRNA". It matches the Rfam family "Bacterial small subunit ribosomal RNA", at positions 989 to 1386 of the family's 1533-position model. Lineage: Bacteria; Pseudomonadati; Pseudomonadota; Gammaproteobacteria; Enterobacterales; Enterobacteriaceae. The record is from RNAcentral.